UGACUNGAGUGCAGAAGGGGAGAGUGGAAUUCCAUGUGUAGCGGUGAAAUGCGUAGAUAUAUGGAGGAACACCAGUGGCGAAAGCGGCUCUCUGGUCUGUCACUGACGCUGAGGCUCGAAAGCGUGGGUAGCGAACAGGAUUAGAUACCCUGGUAGUNCACGCCGUAAACGAUGAGUGCUAGGUGUUAGGCCCUUCCGGGGCUUAGUGCCGGAGCUAACGCAAUAAGCACUCCGCCUGGGGAGUACGACCGCAAGGUUGAAACUCAAAGGAAUUGACGGGGGCCCGCACAAGCGGUGGAGCAUGUGGUUUAAUUCGAAGCAACGCGAAGAACCUUACCAGGUCUUGACAUCCCGAUGCUAUUCUUAGAGAUAGGAAGUUACUUCGGUACAUCGGAGACAGGUGGUGCAUGGUUGUCGUCAGCUCGUGUCGUGAGAUGUUGGGUUAAGUCCCGCAACGAGCGCAUCCCUUAUUGUUAGUUGCCAUCAUUAAGUUGGGCACUCUAGCGAGACUGCCGGUAAUAAACCGGAGGAAGGUGGGGAUGACGUCAAAUCAUCAUGCCCCUUAUGACCUGGGCUACACACGUGCUACAAUGGUCGGUACAACGAGUUGCGAGCCGGUGACGGCAAGCUAAUCUCUGAAAGCCGAUCUCAGUUCGGAUUGGAGGCUGCAACUCGCCUUCAUGAAGUCGGAACCGCUAGUAAUCGCGGAUCAGCACGCCGCGGUGAAUACGUUCCCGGGCCUUGUACACACCGCCCGUCACACCACGAGAGUUUGUAACACCCGAAGUCGGUGAGGUAACCUUUUAGGGGCCAGCCGCCUAAGGUG
Molecule: ribosomal RNA, 826 nt
Filed under: uncultured bacterium
Lineage: Bacteria
Description: bacterial SSU rRNA
Rfam family: Bacterial small subunit ribosomal RNA
Source: RNAcentral